AUUGAACGCUGGCGGCAUGCCUUACACAUGCAAGUCGAACGGUAACAGGUCUUCGGAUGCUGACGAGUGGCGCACGGGUGAGUAAUACAUCGGAACGUGCCCAGACGUGGGGGAUAACGAGGCGAAAGCUUUGCUAAUACCGCAUACGAUCUAAGGAUGAAAGCAGGGGACCGCAAGGCCUUGCGCGCUUGGAGCGGCCGAUGGCAGAUUAGGUAGUUGGUGGGAUAAAAGCUUACCAAGCCGACGAUCUGUAGCUGGUCUGAGAGGACGACCAGCCACACUGGGACUGAGACACGGCCCAGACUCCUACGGGAGGCAGCAGUGGGGAAUUUUGGACAAUGGGCGAAAGCCUGAUCCAGCAAUGCCGCGUGCAGGAUGAAGGCCUUCGGGUUGUAAACUGCUUUUGUACGGAACGAAAAGGCUCUGGCUAAUACCUGGGGCACAUGACGGUACCGUAAGAAUAAGCACCGGCUAACUACGUG
Molecule: ribosomal RNA, 482 nt
Filed under: uncultured bacterium
Lineage: Bacteria
Description: partial 16S ribosomal RNA
Rfam family: Bacterial small subunit ribosomal RNA
Source: RNAcentral